RNAcentral lists this ribosomal RNA (450 nucleotides) under uncultured bacterium. RNAcentral's name for it is "partial 16S ribosomal RNA". It matches the Rfam family "Bacterial small subunit ribosomal RNA", at positions 338 to 795 of the family's 1533-position model. The record is from RNAcentral.
CCUAGGGCGGCAGCAGUAAGGAAUAUUGGUCAAUGGAGGAAACUCUGAACCAGCCAUCCCGCGUGAAGGAUGAAGGGGCUCUGCCUUGUAAACUUCUUUUGUCUGGGGCGAAAAAGCUCGAUUUAUCGAGAACUGACGGUACCAGAAGAAUAAGCACCGGCUAACUCCGUGCCAGCAGCCGCGGUCAUACGGAGGGUGCAAGCAUUAUCCGGAAUCAAUGGGUUUGUAGGGUGCGUAGGAGGCCAAGUGUGAAAGGCUGUGGCUUAACCAUGGAAUUGCCAUUGAUACUGCAGAGCUUGAAUGAGGUUGAGGUUGGCGGAAUGUGACAUGUAGCGGUGAAAUGCUUAGAUAUGUCAUGGAACACCGAUUGCGAAGGCAGCUGACUGGACCUAUAUUGACGCUGAGGCACGAAAGCGUGGGGAGCGAACAGGAUUAGAUACCCCUGUAGUC